RNAcentral lists this ribosomal RNA (458 nucleotides) under uncultured bacterium. RNAcentral describes it as "partial 16S ribosomal RNA". It matches the Rfam family "Bacterial small subunit ribosomal RNA", at positions 338 to 795 of the family's 1533-position model. The record is from RNAcentral.
CCUACGGGAGGCAGCAGUGAGGAAUAUUGGUCAAUGGGCGAGAGCCUGAACCAGCCAAGUCGCGUGAGGGAGUACUGCCCUAUGGGUUGUAAACCUCUUUUGUCGGGGAGCAAAAGCCGGACGUGUCCGGCUGUGAGAGUACCCGAAGAAAAAGCAUCGGCUAACUCCGUGCCAGCAGCCGCGGUAAUACGGAGGAUGCGAGCGUUAUCCGGAUUUAUUGGGUUUAAAGGGUGCGCAGGCGGAUUUUUAAGUCAGCGGUAAAAUCGUGGGGCUCAACCCCAUCCAGCCGUUGAAACUGGGGAUCUAGAGUGUGCGAGAGGUAUGCGGAAUGCGUGGUGUAGCGGUGAAAUGCAUAGAUAUCACGCAGAACCCCGAUUGCGAAGGCAGCAUACCGGUGCACAACUGACGCUCAGGCACGAAAGCGUGGGUAUCGAACAGUAUUAGAUACCCUGGUAGUC